RNAcentral lists this ribosomal RNA (434 nucleotides) under uncultured Lachnospiraceae bacterium. RNAcentral describes it as "partial 16S ribosomal RNA". It matches the Rfam family "Bacterial small subunit ribosomal RNA", at positions 341 to 792 of the family's 1533-position model. The record is from RNAcentral. Lineage: Bacteria; Bacillati; Bacillota; Clostridia; Lachnospirales; Lachnospiraceae.
ACGGAAGGCAGCAGUGGGGGAUAUUGCACAAUGGGGGCAACCCUGAUGCAGCGACGCCGCGUGAGCGAUGAAGUAUUUCGGUAUGUAAAGCUCUAUCAGCAGGGAAGAAAAUGCCGGUACCUGACUAAGAAGCACCGGCUAAAUACGUGCCAGCAGCCGCGGUACUACGUAUGGUGCAAGCGUUAUCCGGAUUUACUGGGUGUAAAGGGAGCGUAGACGGCAUGGCAAGCCAGAUGUGAAAUGCGGGGGCUCAACUCCUGAACUGCAGUUGGAACUGUCAAGCUAGAGUAUCGGAGAGGUAAGUGGAAUUCCGAGUGUAGCGGUGAAAUGCGUAGAUAUGAGGAGGAACACCAGUGGCGAAGGCGGCUUACUGGACGAUAACUGACGUUGAGGCUCGAAAGUGUGGGGAGCAAACAGGAUUAGAUACCCUGGUA